Gossypium raimondii (Peruvian cotton) is the source of this 158-nucleotide non-coding RNA. NCBI's taxonomy places the organism in Eukaryota, Viridiplantae, Streptophyta, Magnoliopsida, Malvales, Malvaceae. The record is from Rfam.
CACCAUUGGCAUCUACCGAUUGAAUGGUCUGGUGAAGUGUUCACAUCGUGGUGACGUGGGCGGUUCUCUGCCCGCGAUGUCACGAGAAGUGCACAGAACCUUAUCAUUUAGAUGAAGGAGAAGUCGUAACAAGGUUUCCGUAGGUGAACCUGCGGAAG